UACGUAGGGUCCGAGCGUUGUCCGGAAUUAUUGGGCGUAAAGAGCUCGUAGGCGGUUUGUCGCGUCUGCUGUGAAAUCUAGAGGCUCAACCUCUAGCCUGCAGUGGGUACGGGCAGACUUGAGUGGUGUAGGGGAGACUGGAAUUCCCGGUGUAGCGGUGGAAUGCGCAGAUAUCAGGAGGAACACCGAUGGCGAAGGCAGGUCUCUGGGCACUUACUGACGCUGAGGAGCGAAAGCGUGGGGAGCGAACAGG
RNAcentral lists this ribosomal RNA (253 nucleotides) under uncultured bacterium. RNAcentral's name for it is "partial 16S ribosomal RNA". It matches the Rfam family "Bacterial small subunit ribosomal RNA", at positions 524 to 776 of the family's 1533-position model. The record is from RNAcentral.